GAGGCGGCAUGAGCAGCGCACCGUGGAGCUGACGCCGCGCCCCCUGCCCGGCCCAUGUCCUUCGCCAUGCUGCGUUCAGCGCCACCGCCGGGCCGCUACCUGUACCCUGAGCGGUCGUGCGGGCAGCCCACUACCACCGCCACCGCCGCCGCCCCCACUACCACUGGCCAGAGACGGCGGCGAGAACACCCAGCCCAAACAGAUCUGCACCUUCUGCCUCAGCAACCAGAGAAAGUUGAGCAAAGACCGUGACAGAAAGACGGCGAUUCGAAGUUAGAAGGAGGAGGGUCCACAGCAGCCAAGAGGUGAUGCCACUAGUGAAGGUGGAAGCCACUGAAGAGUCAUGGAGAGCCCCACCUUGGACCUGAUCUGAGCACAGGUCCCCAAGAGCGCGCUCACCAGGCCAGACCUGCCCCAGCUCUGAGCAGGGCCUGUGAACAGAGAGAUGGACAGGCGGGCUAUGGCUUGACUCUAAGUAGCUGAACACUUGUACCCAGGCCCACUGGAACUUUCCAUGCUGGCUCUCUACCUGGGCCAAGUGUUGGCAUCUUGUGUCUUUAAUAUGAUAAUAUAAAGUCUGGAAAUUUUGUAUAAUUAAAGUGAAACAGUAUCUUCC
Molecule: long non-coding RNA, 616 nt
Filed under: Rattus norvegicus (Norway rat)
Lineage: Eukaryota; Metazoa; Chordata; Mammalia; Rodentia; Muridae
Description: long non-coding RNA NONRATT026064
Source: RNAcentral